This 275-nucleotide ribosomal RNA is filed under the name uncultured prokaryote. Its description in RNAcentral is "partial 16S ribosomal RNA". It matches the Rfam family "Bacterial small subunit ribosomal RNA", at positions 524 to 798 of the family's 1533-position model. The record is from RNAcentral.
CACAGGGGUUGCGAGCGUUGUCCGGAAUUACUAGGCGUAAAGGGCAGGCAGGCGGAUCCAUAAGUUUAUCGUUUAAGGCGUCGGCUUAACCGGCGUAGGGCGGUAGAUACUGUGGAUCUGGAAUGCGGAUGGGGAAGACAGAAUUCCUGGUGUAGCGGUGGAAUGCGCAGAGAUCAGGAGGAAUACCGAAGGCGAAGGCAGUCUUCCAAGCCGUUAUUGACGCUCAACUGCGAAGGUGUGGGUAUCAAACAGGAUUAGAUACCCGCGUAGUCCCU